RNAcentral lists this unclassified non-coding RNA (1212 nucleotides) under Hevea brasiliensis (rubber tree). The record is from RNAcentral. Lineage: Eukaryota; Viridiplantae; Streptophyta; Magnoliopsida; Malpighiales; Euphorbiaceae.
CAAACUUAAUCGAACAGCAUUAUGAAAAUAAAAAUAAAAAACAGUUGACAAGCUGCAUAUGCAUACAAGACAAAUAAAAGUUGUUGCAGCUGAAUAGAUUUAACUGGUCAUAAUGCACAAGCCUCACAAAUCUUUUAUAACACACGUAUGUAUAAUAACAUAAUAUGGUAGAUCACUACUUUAUGGCUCCACCAAAAUCUUUCCUGUCGCAUGUCCGUCGAUACUCCUGCUCCAAGCAUCUUCAGCCUUGCUCAGAGGAAAUUUGGAGUCAAUCACUGUUUUGAGCUUCCCUUCCUUCACAAGCUUAACAAGCAAUUCCAGGUUUUCCUUAUUGGCAUUUACAAGAAAUGGCACCAACUGCUUCUUUGAGAAGGUUAAUUUCUUUACUGCAAAGGUCAACAUGGAGCUAGCUCCAGGAGUUAGAUCGAUCACCUUUCCACUUGAACUUAAAUUAGGCUCAAAGGUAGACCAAGGGAUGCCUGUUGUGCAGUUAAUCACUGCAUCAUAUUUUUGGCCUGAUGGACUCUUAAGAGCAGCUCCCUCUGGAGUCUUGUAAUCAAGAAUCUCAUCUGCUCCUAAGCUCUUCACAAAAUCAAUGUUGCGGGCUCCACAGGUGGCAGUAACAUGGGCGUUACCAAGUUUUGCCAAUUGAACAGCAUAGUGACCUACACCACCCGAAGCAGCCGUAACUAGAAUGUUCUUCCGGGGUCCAGUUCCAUCAAGCUUAACCUCAGCAGGAUUGACGAGGGCCUGAAGAGCUGUAAGACCUGCGAUAACAAGACCUGCACCUUCUGCAGCUGAUACUUCAGCGGGUCUUGAAACAGUCAAACUAUCCUUAGGUACCACAUAUUCAGCCAAUCCACCUCCACUCUUGGUACUGAGCAUAGCCACAACCUUGUCACCAGCCUUGAAACUUUUUACAUUAGAUCCUACCUCAACAACCUCUCCCGCCACGUCGGUAGUAGGAAUAAAAGGAAACUUGGAAGGAAGAAAUGGACGAAGCAUGCCCUUCUGAAUUUUCGAGUCAAGAGGAUUUAUGCUUGUAGCCUCCACUUUUACCAAGACUUCAUCCUUAUUCGGAGUAGGGACAGGAACUUCCACAUGCUUCAAGGCAGCAGCUCCACCGCCAUAAGAGUGGUAUUGAACAGCAUGCAUAAUCUUCCCAGACAUAUCAGAUUUCCCAAUUUCAAUUCUCUUUGAAGUUGGAGCAAA